CUUAACCUGAAAUGCGCGAUAAACCUUGUUAGUUUUGAACCUACAUUUACUUUAAACGGGAUUCCUAUAUCGCCGGAUGGCUGUCAGGCCUCCACUCGCUUGCGAGGUUCGCAGGGGAAGGCAAAAGUUCGGUUGCGGUCACCCACCUAGCAUUGCUAGGAGUCAAAAAACAAGGGGCGGCAUUUUGGGUAUUCA
RNAcentral lists this non-coding RNA (195 nucleotides) under Acetatifactor sp. RNAcentral describes it as "6S RNA". It matches the Rfam family "6S / SsrS RNA". From Rfam's summary of the family: E. coli 6S RNA was the first non coding RNA to be sequenced, but its function was unknown until recently. It consists of 184 nucleotides that fold into an extended hairpin structure with a large single-stranded internal bulge. Lineage: Bacteria; Bacillati; Bacillota; Clostridia; Lachnospirales; Lachnospiraceae. The record is from RNAcentral.